This is a long non-coding RNA of Belonocnema kinseyi, 803 nucleotides long. RefSeq lists it as uncharacterized. The transcript has 3 exons. Lineage: Eukaryota; Metazoa; Arthropoda; Insecta; Hymenoptera; Cynipidae. The record is from RefSeq and is a predicted model, not a curated record.
AAUUGUAUAGGAAAUGCAGUGUUUCUAUUUUAAAAAAAUAAAGUUUUGAACGGGAAUGCGAAGUUUUUGUGAAUAAAAAUAGAAGGAGAUAAUAGGAUGCCAAUGAUUGUGGAAAAAAAAGUUGGAGCGCAUAAAGCUGCUGCUGCGGAUUGUGCAAAAGUAGUAGUCGCAGUAGAGCUGCGUACGUCGAAUUGUGCAAUUUUUAUUCUAUUUCUUUCCCUAAACCAUACCUACAAUUUAGAAAAGCAGAAAUUAAUAAUGCGAGUAUCAAAUUCCACUUAAAACGCGUGAAGCGUGCAGGAAAUGCAAUAAAUGAGUGAAGUUGUGUGGACGUAAAAAUUCCAAGUUUAAAUCAAUCAGGAGCGUUACAAAAGAUAUAUACAUAUAUUUGUUUUUUACACUUCUUUGGAGAAUCUGGACCUACAGAAGAGCAUCCAGGCGCGAUGGAAUACAGUAAAAAAAGCUAGAAGGAGCUUAGAGCAAAAGUACUAACACUUCUCAUUGAAGUCUGAGGAAUUUACUUCAAGUACAGGGAGCAGUUGUUUUUCUGGAGAAAGAAGAGCGGAGAAACAAAUUCAGCUGAUGUCGAAUUCAAUGAAGUCGAAACAUUCUGUUAACAAUAAUAUUGACAGUUGAAACAUUCUGUGAUCUUGAGCCAACUUUUUCUUGAGUCAACUUGUUCUUUUUUCUUUACGUAAAGAAUGGGGCCGAAACUCUUGAAUUCGCGGGAACUGUCAUGGCGGCCACGCAUGUGCACUAUCUAUUUCGGAAUUGAAAUGAAAAGGUCUAUAUUAGGAAAAUUG